UAAAUUUUUAUUUUAGUUAGUGUUGAAUAAUUAUUAAUAAUAAAAAUUUAGUAGUGAAAUGUUAAUCGAUUUAAAUGAUAUCUAGUUUUUUUAGAAAUGAAUUUAAUUCAAUAUUUAAAUUAUUAUAUAAUUAUUUAUAUAAAUUAGUAUAAUUAUUUAAAUUAAAUUAUUUUAGGGAUAAACUUAAAGUAAAAUUAAUAAUUUGAUUAUUUAUUUAUUAUUUGAGUAUUUAUAAUAAUAGAAAUUUUUAAUAAGUAUUUUAUAAUUUAUAAAUUAUUUAUAGUUAAUUUAAAUUUAAAUUUUAAUUUUUUUAUAAAAAAGAUAUUAUAAUCAAUAAAAUAAAGUUAUAAUGAUAAUAUUAGUAAAAAAUAAUGUUUAAUUAAUUUAUUUGUAUUUAAUUUAAUAUUAAAGAAUUUAACAAAUAUAUUAUUCACCUGUUUAACAAAAACAUGGUUUAUAGAGUAUAAUUAUAAAUCGGUUUCUGCCCAAUGAGAUUAUUUAAUGGCUGCGGUAUAUUGACCGUACAAAGGUAGCAAAAUCAAUAGUUUUUUAAUUGAAAACUGGAAUGAAAGAGCUGAUGAAAUAAUAAUUAUUUCAAUAUUAAUAAUUGAAUUUAAAUUUUAAGUUAAAUGCUUAAAUUUUUUUAAAAGACGAGAAGACCCUAUAGAAUUUAAUAAAUUUUAAGUAUAAAUUUGUAAAUAUAAAUUAUAUAUUUAUAUUUAAUUAUAUUUAAUUGGGAGGAUUAUAAAAUAUA
This 754-nucleotide ribosomal RNA is filed under the name Anterhynchium flavomarginatum flavomarginatum. Its description in RNAcentral is "partial large subunit ribosomal RNA". Lineage: Eukaryota; Metazoa; Arthropoda; Insecta; Hymenoptera; Vespidae. The record is from RNAcentral.